RNAcentral lists this transfer RNA (76 nucleotides) under Catenuloplanes nepalensis. RNAcentral describes it as "tRNA-Asp". It matches the Rfam family "tRNA". Rfam says of the family: Transfer RNA (tRNA) molecules are approximately 80 nucleotides in length. Their secondary structure includes four short double-helical elements and three loops (D, anti-codon, and T loops). Further hydrogen bonds mediate the characteristic L-shaped molecular structure. tRNAs have two regions of fundamental functional importance: the anti-codon, which is responsible for specific mRNA codon recognition, and the 3' end, to which the tRNAs corresponding amino acid is attached (by aminoacyl-tRNA synthetases). tRNAs cope with the degeneracy of the genetic code in two manners: having more than one tRNA (with a specific anti-codon) for a particular amino acid; and 'wobble' base-pairing, i.e. permitting non-standard base-pairing at the 3rd anti-codon position. The record is from RNAcentral. Lineage: Bacteria; Bacillati; Actinomycetota; Actinomycetes; Micromonosporales; Micromonosporaceae.
GCGAGUGGUGGCGCAGAGGUCGUCGCGCCGCCCCUGUCAGGGCGCAGGACGCCGGUUCAACUCCGGCACACUCGCC